RNAcentral lists this ribosomal RNA (253 nucleotides) under uncultured bacterium. RNAcentral's name for it is "partial 16S ribosomal RNA". It matches the Rfam family "Bacterial small subunit ribosomal RNA", at positions 524 to 776 of the family's 1533-position model. The record is from RNAcentral.
GACGAACCUUGCAAACGUUAUUCGGAAUCACUGGGCUUAAAGGGUGCGUAGGCUGUGCAGAAAGUUGGGUGUGAAAUACCUCGGCUUAACCGAGGAGUUGCGCCCAAAACUACUGUGCUCGAGGAAGAUAGAGGUGAGCGGAACUUAGGGUGGAGCGGUGAAAUGCGUUGAUAUCCUAAGGAACACCGGUGGCGAAAGCGGCUCACUGGACCAUAACUGACGCUGAGGCGCGAAAGCUAGGGGAGCAAACAGG